RNAcentral lists this vault RNA (138 nucleotides) under Branchiostoma floridae (Florida lancelet). It matches the Rfam family "Vault RNA". From Rfam's summary of the family: This family of RNAs are found as part of the enigmatic vault ribonucleoprotein complex. The complex consists of a major vault protein (MVP), two minor vault proteins (VPARP and TEP1), and several small untranslated RNA molecules. It has been suggested that the vault complex is involved in drug resistance. Lineage: Eukaryota; Metazoa; Chordata; Leptocardii; Amphioxiformes; Branchiostomatidae. The record is from Rfam by way of RNAcentral.
GUGCUGGCUUUGUCGAGUGGGUACUUCGCAUUUGCAACCUAUUCAAAUUGGAUUGAAUGGUCGCGGGUUCGACCCCGGCGUACGGCCGGGACUCGAACUCGUAGCUAUCUAUACCCACUGACGCCAUCCAGCACUUUU